UGCUUGUAACAUCUUCCAAGGAGCUCUGCUU
This 31-nucleotide non-coding RNA is filed under the name Mus musculus (house mouse). Lineage: Eukaryota; Metazoa; Chordata; Mammalia; Rodentia; Muridae. The record is from RNAcentral.